RNAcentral lists this ribosomal RNA (378 nucleotides) under uncultured Planctomycetota bacterium. RNAcentral describes it as "bacterial SSU rRNA". It matches the Rfam family "Bacterial small subunit ribosomal RNA", at positions 521 to 896 of the family's 1533-position model. The record is from RNAcentral. Lineage: Bacteria; Pseudomonadati; Planctomycetota.
UAAUACAGAGGUGGCGAGCGUUGUUCGGAAUUAUUGGGCGUAAAGAGCACGUAGGUGGAUUUGUAAGUCAGGUGUGAAAGCCUUCUGUUCAACGGAAGAAUUGCAUCUGAAACUGCAAACCUUGAGUAUAGGAGGGGAGAGUGGAACUUCUGGUGGAGCGGUGAAAUGCGUAGAUAUCAGAAGGAACGCCGGCGGCGAAAGCGACUCUCUGGUCUAUAACUGACACUGAGGUGCGAAAGCUAGGGGAGCAAACGGGAUUAGAUACCCCGGUAGUCCUAGCCGUAAACGAUGGGCACUAAGUAGGGGAAACUACCGAUGUUUUCUCUGCCGUAGCAAACGCAUUAAGUGCCCCGCCUGGGGAGUACGGCCGCAAGGCUA